Non-coding RNA from Camellia sinensis, 477 nucleotides. The record is from RefSeq and is a predicted model, not a curated record. Lineage: Eukaryota; Viridiplantae; Streptophyta; Magnoliopsida; Ericales; Theaceae.
AGGGGUAUGCACUAAUUGAAUAUGGGAACUUUGAAGAAUCACAGAAAGCCAUAAAUGAAAUGGAUGGAACUGAAUUGCUCACUCAAACCAUCAACGUUGAUUGGGCAUUCAGCAAGGGGCCCUUUAAAAGGAGGAAUAUGAGGAGAAGAUCAUCACGUGGACACCGUUCAAGAAGUCCUAGGAGAAGAUUCUAAUCAUGCAAGGAUUUGUGGAUUUAUGUUGGAAUGAGAAACAAGAUGUUUGGGCAAGUUUUUUUUUGGGUAAUUUGACUUGUAACUGAUUGGGUGAAAGAUUAUUAUUCUGUUUGCUGAGGUUCCCUUCCGUGGCCUCUUUGGCGGAUGUUUGUUAGGAUGUUUCUUCUAAAUCAUGUAAUAUGUUGCAAUAUUGGGUUGGUAUUCAUGGUUGUUUCUUGGACUAGCUUAUUGCUCUGCACUUGGACAAUCGACCUUUGAUACCAUUUUCCAGGAUCAUCUUGCA